RNAcentral lists this transfer RNA (67 nucleotides) under Frontopsylla spadix. RNAcentral describes it as "tRNA-Cys". Lineage: Eukaryota; Metazoa; Arthropoda; Insecta; Siphonaptera; Leptopsyllidae. RNAcentral also lists the same sequence under 1 other name. The record is from RNAcentral.
AGUUUUAUAGUCAAAAAAAAAAAUGAUUUUAAAUUGCAAAUUUAAAGGUGUAUAAAUACUAAAACUU